RNAcentral lists this ribosomal RNA (2311 nucleotides) under cf. Wanleelagus sp. GZ36. RNAcentral's name for it is "partial small subunit ribosomal RNA". Lineage: Eukaryota; Metazoa; Arthropoda; Arachnida; Trombidiformes; Eriophyidae. The record is from RNAcentral.
UGUAAAGUUCAAGCUCCGAUUAUGAGGGCGAAACCGCGAAUGGCUCAUUAAAUCAGUCAUAACCUACUUGAUUGUUUAAAGUUUAUAUGGAUAACUGUGGUAAUUCUAGAGCUAAUACAUGCACAAAGGGGGCGACUCUUGCAAGAGAGAAGCUCUGCGUUUAUUAGACUAAGACCAAUGAUUGUAACUUCGGUUGCAAUCUUGAAAUAAGGUGACUCUGAAUAAAUAAUGGGUGAAAGCCCAUGUUGCUGACCUGACAUACCAAAAGGCUUGCUCGCUCAUUUAUGGGUAGCUUGUCUGUCAGGCAAAUCAAUCGAGUGUCUGCUCUAUCAACUGUGGAUGGUAGGAUAAUUGCCUACCAUGGUGAUGACGGGUAACGGGGAGUUAGGGCUCGACUCCGGAGAACAAGCCUGAGAAACGGCUAGUAGGACUAAGGUCUGCAGCAGGCGCGAAACUUACACAAUGCUAGAUUAAAAUUAGCGAUGUAGUGAAGAAAAAUAACGAUGUACUUCCAUUUAAACAUGGUAGUACAAUUGGAAUGAGACGACUAUAAACCAGUUAGUCGAGUAACAAAUGGAGGGCAAGUCUGGUGCCAGCAGCCGCGGUAAUUCCAGCUCCAUUAGCAUACAUUAAAGUUGUUGCGGUUAAAAAGCUCGUAGUUGAAUUUUAGGCGGGCUCUAUUGGCAGGCAAUCGUUAAGGUUUUGGUUUGAUCCUGUAUCAUCCAUUACUGGUUGUCCUGUUCCUAUAGGAACCCGCUGUUUCGUCACUUAAUCGAGUGCGAAGCAUGCUGGAUUAAAUAUAUUUCAAUAAUAUAUCUAUUUCAGCGAGUUUACCUUGAGAAAAUUAGAGUGCUCACAGCAGGCAGUUGGGGUGUAAAAGCUCCUUUUAUGCUUGAAUAAUGUUGCAUGGAAUAAUAGAAUACGGCCUCGGUUCUAUUCUGUUGGUCUUAUAGAACAACAAACAAGUUGGUUAAAGCGAUCAAAGUCUGAACUUUUAGUGUGGCUUUAAAUUUUACUAGURAGCCUGUUGCGUGGGGAUAAAACCUCAGAGCCAGAUUACUAUAAUAUUUUUAGUCAAUCAACGCUAUCUGUUCUUAAGGACUAGCUUUUUAAUCAACUGAGGCAAUGGUUAAAAGAAAUAGUCGCGGCGGCAUCAGUACUGCAUCGUGAGAGGUGAAAUUCUUAGACCGAUGCAAGACUAACUGAAGCGAAAGCGUUUGCCGAGGAUAUUUUCAUUAAUCAAGAACGAAAGUUAGAGGUUCGAAGGCGAUCAGAUACCGCCCUAGUUCUAACCAUAAACGUUGCCAACUAGCAAUUGGGUUGCGAUUCCUUUAAUCGUUGUUAGGUAAAUCAGCUUGUAUGCUUGGGUGAGAAAUCAUUCCAACAUGCAGGUUGACUAACGCGAUUUUUAUGAUCCACCCAGCGGCUCUCGUAGGGAAACCAAAGUGUUUGGGUUCCGGGGGAAGUAUGAUUGCAAAGUUGAAACUUAAAGGAAUUGACGGAAGGGCACCACCAGGAGUGGAGCCUGCGGCUUAAUUUGACUCAACACGGGGAAACUUACUAGAUUAGAACUCUGGAAUGAUUGACAGAUUGAUAGCUCUUUCUUGAUUCAGAGGAUGGUGGUGCAUGGCCGUUCUUGAUUCGUAUUCCGAAACGUCUGCUUAAUUGCGAUAACGAGUGAGACCUCACCCAACUAACUAGUCGUUUGGUACGCUGUGGAACACAAAAGUCUUGGUAGGGUUUAAUGGGGUGGUUGGUUUGGGUUCGCUUAGAUCAGCUAUUCCUCCCUAUUUAAGAUGUUCUCUGCUUGCCAACGGACUUCUUAGAGGGAUAAACGGUGUUUUAGCCGUAAGAAACGAGGCAAUAACAGGUCUGUGAUGCCCUUAGAUAUUCUAGGCCGCACGCGUGCUACAAUGGCGUGUGCAGAAAGCUUGUUCGAGGUUUGUCCAGAGAGAACUAGUUGCUUGGUUUGCGUUCGCAAGGAUGUAGAUCGGCUUCAAAGUGGCUCUGGUUUUUCAAGCCGAGAGAAACCGUAGUCGAAAGAUUACGGCAAUCAUAAAUACACGCCGUGAUUUGGGAUUGGGGAUUGCAAUUGUUGCCCAUGAACGAGGAAUUCCCAGUAAGCGCAAUUCAUCAUAUUGCGUUGAUUACGUCCCUGCCCUUUGUACACACCGCCCGUCGCUACUACCGAUUGGAAGUUUUAGUGAGGCAUUUGGACCUGCUUUAGACUAACUUUCGGGUUAGGAUUAAGCGGGGAAGUCUGUCGAACUCAAAUUUCUAGAGGAAGUAAAAGUCGUAACAAGGUUUCCGU